CAGGGUUCGAUUCCGGAGAGGGAGCCUGAGAAACGGCUACCACAUCCAAGGAAGGCAGCAGGCGCGCAAAUUACCCACUCCCGGCACGGGGAGGUAGUGACGAAAAAUAACGAUACGGGACUCAUCCGAGGCCCCGUAAUCGGAAUGAGUAUACUCUAAAUCCUUAUACGAGUAUCAAUUGGAGGGCAAGUCUGGUGCCAGCAGCCGCGGUAAUUCCAGCUCCAAUAGCGUAUAUUAAAGUUGUUGCGGUUAAAAAGCUCGUAGUUGGAUCUGUGUCCCGCACCGUCGGUUCACCGCCUGUCGGUGUUCAACUGGCGUGUAUGCGGGACGUCCUGCCGGUGGUGGUUCGGUUCCCCGUGGGUACGUAGGGGUUACGGUCUGGUUCGCCAGCUCCGUCCCCGAAGGCCUGCGUGGUGUAUCCGGCCGCCUUUUCAAUCCCGUCGCGGUGCUCUUUACCGAGUGUCGAGGCGGGCCGGCACGUUUACUUUGAACAAAUUAGAGUGCUUUAAGCAGGCCCUGUCCCGCCUGUAUGUUGUGUGCAUGGAAUAAUGGAAUAGGACCUCGGUUCUAUUUUGUUGGUUUUCGGAAUCUGAGGUAAUGAUCAAUGGGGACAGGCGGGGGCAUUCGUAUUGCGACGUUAGAGGUGAAAUUCUUGGAUCGUCGCAAGACGGACCGAAGCGAAAGCAUUUGCCAAGUAUGUUCUCGUCGAUCAAGAACGAAAGUUAGAGGUUCGAAGGCGAUCAGAUACCGCCCUAGUUCUAACCAUAAACUAUGCCUGCCAGCGAUCCGCCGAAGUUCCUCCGAUGACUCGGCGGGCAGCUUCCGGGAAACCAGAGCUUUUGGGUUCCGGGGGAAGUAUGGUUGCAAAGCUGAAACUUAAAGGAAUUGACGGAAGGGCACCACCAGGAGUGGAGCCUGCGGCUUAAUUUGACUCAACACGGGAAAACUCACCAGGCCCGGACACCGGAAGGAUUGACAGAUUGAGAGCUCUUUCUUGAUUCGGUGGGUGGUGGUGCAUGGCCGUUCUUAGUUGGUGGAGCGAUUUGUCUGGUUAAUUCCGAUAACGAACGAGACUCUAGCCUACUAACUAGGCGUACCCGGUAUCCACAAUCGUGCUACCGGCGAUCAAAUUUCUUCUUAGAGGGACAGGCGGCUUCUAGCCGCACGAGACUGAGCAAUAACAGGUCUGUGAUGCCCUUAGAUGUCCUGGGCCGCACGCGCGCUACACUGAAGGAAUCAGCGUGUCUUCCCUGUCCGAAAGGACCGGGUAACCCGCUGAACCUCCUUUGUGCUAGGGAUUGGGGCUUGCAAUUGUUCCCCAUGAACGAGGAAUUCCCAGUAAGCGCGAGUCAUAAGCUCGCGUUGAUUACGUCCCUGCCCUUGUACACACCGCC
This 1394-nucleotide ribosomal RNA is filed under the name Myconus sp. 1 BWB-2021c. RNAcentral's name for it is "SSU rRNA". It matches the Rfam family "Eukaryotic small subunit ribosomal RNA", at positions 371 to 1673 of the family's 1831-position model. Lineage: Eukaryota; Metazoa; Arthropoda; Insecta; Hemiptera; Achilidae. The record is from RNAcentral.